Molecule: ribosomal RNA, 419 nt
Filed under: uncultured eukaryote
Lineage: Eukaryota
Description: SSU rRNA
Rfam family: Eukaryotic small subunit ribosomal RNA
Source: RNAcentral
CAAUAGCGUAUAUUUAAGUUGUUGCAGUUAAAAAGCUCGUAGUUGGAUUUUGGGCGCGGCAGGCCGGUCCGCCGAUUCGGUGUGCACUGGCAGGCGGCGUCUUUCUGUCGAGGACGUGUCAUGGCUUUCAUCGGCUGUGGCACGGAGUCGGCGAUGUUACUUUGAAAAAUUAGAGUGUUCAAAGCGGGCCUACGCUUGAAUAUAUUAGCAUGGAAUAACACCAUAGGACUCCUGUCCUAUUCUGUUGGUCUUCGGGAUGGGAGUAAUGAUUAAGAGGAACAGUUGGGGGCAUUCGUAUUUCAUUGUCAGAGGUGAAAUUCUUGGAUUUAUGAAAGACGAACUUCUGCGAAAGCAUUUGCCAAGGAUGUUUUCAUUAAUCAAGAACGAAAGUUGGGGGCUCGAAGAUGAUUAGAUACCGU